CCUACGGGCGGCACCAGUGGGGAAUAUUGCACAAUGGGCGCAAGCCUGAUGCAGCCAUGCCGCGUGUGUGAAGAAGGCCUACGGGUUGUAAAGCACUUUCAGCGGGGAGGAAGGCGCCAAGGUUAAUAACCUUGGCGAUUGACGUUACCCGCAGAAGAAGCACCGGCCAACUCCGUGCCAGCAGCCGCGGUAAUACGGAGGGUGCAAGCGUUAAUCGGAAUUACUGGGCGUAAAGCGCACGCAGGCGGUCUGUCAAGUCGGAUGUGAAGUCCCCGGGCUCAACCUGGGAACUGCAUUCGAAACUGGCAGGCUAGAGUCUUGUAGAGGGGGGUAGAAUUCCAGGUGUAGCGGUGAAAUGCGUAGAGAUCUGGAGGAAUACCGGUGGCGAAGGCGGCCCCCUGGACAAAGACUGACGCACAGGUGCGAAAGCGUGGGGAGCAAACAGGAUUAGAUACCCGCGUAGUC
RNAcentral lists this ribosomal RNA (465 nucleotides) under uncultured bacterium. RNAcentral's name for it is "bacterial SSU rRNA". It matches the Rfam family "Bacterial small subunit ribosomal RNA", at positions 338 to 795 of the family's 1533-position model. The record is from RNAcentral.